GGAAUAGAAGAUUUAUAUGCAUUGAACGUUGUCUGAACAGCCAUUGAGUAAAAUUCACCAAGUGGCACCACGGUGUAAAACCUUGGGAUACAUCAUUACUAGAGGAAGUGCAAAUUUAAAAAAGAAGUGGUUGGAAGAUACAUUAAAAAUAAAAAAGGCAGGAACUCAAUUGCAUUGACAGAAGAAAGGUCGCAGUGGCCUGGCUCCUCUCUUUUCAAAGGAUCUUCCUGCUCCUCACAUCUGAGGGGCUCUUCUGGGACGAAAGCCCCAAGACCAGCAAUGAUCCAUGGACUCCACAUAGAUAAGUGUCCCUGGGACUGUCCUGGGAACCAAGAGUCAAGCUGUGAGGCAAAGCUCUUCCUCUGCUUUCUCUUCAGCCAAGUGAAUGGGAACACUGAUGUAUUCAGCUCUUUUCUUGUCCCCAGCUUCCUCUGACUCAUCAACGGAGAUGCAAACAAAACCACCUCCACAUUCCAAAGGAGCUGUGCCUGGGAGGUAACAGGUAAUAUCUAAGGUACUGGAGUGACUCGGGACCAUAAGCCAGCCCUUUCAAAAGCCAGGCUUUCAGGCUUCUGAAGCUCAGGCAAAGCCACAGCCUAGCCUGUAGUCCUAUGGCCUAGCUUAACCUCCCUCAUUAUGGUUACAGUACAGAUAGUUGCCUGGGAUUAGUUACUGAGUCAAUUAAUGAGAUAAAGUAAAAGUGUGAGUGAGAGUAUAUUGGAUAAUUCAGAGGUUGAAAGGCUAUAUUGAAACACAUCUGGUGAUAAUUAACUGUACAAUUUUAUCUGGCCAAACAUAAUUACUUGCAACUAAAUGUAUGUCAUUGCAGCUGAUUGACACACACACUGUAUAGCCAUGGCAAGCAGAGGACAAGGCUUAGGUCAAUUGCAGGGAAAAGUUAAAAAGCAUCCUUACAGGGAACGGAGCGGGACAAAAAAAAAAGUUAUUGGCAAUUAACUUCAAACAGGGUUUAAGACCCAUUUUUUAAUAAAAAAAGUUUUUUCCCAACCUAGAGCAAGAUUUUCUUUUAUUUUCUUCUGGACUGUCUGUUCUGUCAGGUUAAAUGCAGGUGUACCACAAAGUUAUAGUGAUUACAGUUUAGUCCUUUAUUGUGACUAAUGCUAUGGAAGGAGUUACUGAAAAGAGGCAGGAAAACGGUGGGUUUAGUGUGGGCAUGACAGGAAUCAGUAGAAGUGUCUGAUGGAAUCCAUAGGAGCUGGUGAUUUGCCAGUGUUAAACAAAUGCUGAAGCUGGUUAGUUUUUGUCUAGAACUGCUGCCCAUGUGUCCUGCUUCACAUAUUGCUAUCUUCUCCAAACAACAACAAAAAUCUCCUUGAAAUGUUAUUGGAGUUGACCCUGAGAUUAACUCGGUUCGAGCCUGGUGCUAAUAAUGCCGAGGUUGUAGAUUCAAUCCCUGUAUGGGCCACUCACUUUAGAGCUGGACUUGAAGGUCCUUAUGGGUGCCUUGCAACUCAGAAUAUUCUGUGAUUCUGUGAAUAGUGUUUGUAAUCACUACUACUUUCAUCGUCUCACCUCUCCUUGUACUGCUGUACUGACCUAUUACUCCAGAAGGGUUGCAGCUGCACAGCCCUGUGUUUGUGGGUGUCUGGCACAAAUAAACUUGAAGACUUGCUCCAGAAUUCAUCAUUGAAGAAAGGAAAUUCUUAACUGAAAAUUGCUUUUCACUUCAUUUUUCCUUGCCAGGAAAGGCUGACUUCCCACAGGCGCCGUAAUUCAGCGCGGGCUCUACAAGGAUGCCAGUUUUACUGAAAAUUCAAUCUCUUUACUACAAUAGAAGGCCAGCUGAGCUGCCAUCCACAUCAGCACUCAACUAACCCAGUGCCAAUAGUGUGUGAUUCAUUGAUUAUUGUCAAAUGAACUUUCUCUUCUAACUUCAGAAAAGAAUUAGACCGAGAUGAAACUCACUGUAAGGGCAGCUGAGCAAACUUAGCUGUAAUGAUGAAAAGGAAUGAUUACAACUCUCAGUUGCACCAAGAAGCACUUGGGCCUAUGCUGCUUUUACUUAAAUAUUAUUUAGACUUCUGCAAUUUUGUUUACAGCAUAUCUCAACAGAAGGUGCCAUAUGGCAGUAGAGGAGUGGGUGCUAAUAAGAGCACAUGUGAGACAACUGUGCCUCUGUGGACCCCCUUCUCAGCCAUCCCAGUAGCACUCCAAGUUGAGACUUUAGCCUGGAGGCAACUGAAGUUUGCUAAAGACUUUUCCUGGCUUCAGCUCAGGUGUUUGGGUGGCCAUCUGACACAUUAAUAAAUUAAUGAACUUUA
Long non-coding RNA from Corvus hawaiiensis (hawaiian crow), 2282 nucleotides. RefSeq lists it as uncharacterized. The transcript is spliced from 2 exons. The record is from RefSeq and is a predicted model, not a curated record. Lineage: Eukaryota; Metazoa; Chordata; Aves; Passeriformes; Corvidae.